GGAAAAAUAUACUGUAUUAGGCAGUUCGUAGUAGUCUGUAUCUAGUUGAAAAUUACGUUCGGAGUUGAAAAUGGAAAUGUAGUGAAAUGUCAAGUGAUCGGUAAUAGAAAACGGUUUGAUACGUUUAAGCAAGCUUGUAAGCCUAUUUCAUAGCAGUUGUAAGUAAUUUGUAAUCAAAGACCAGGGCACCGCACUUCAAAAGCGUGCUGAUAUUAGAAGACAGGGGCGUAGUUUCAUAUACGAGCAGUCCUCUUCGGCUUUUUCGACAAGUGGCAGCCCUAAUGGCCGUCGUUUUUUCGCCGACAAGCAUUUAAUGCGUAGUCACCGAAGAGAAGUGUUAGUUACAGGGCCUGGCCUUUAAAAUUAAAUUUAAAUUAAAGAAAAAUUACUUAAACAUCAAAAUGAUCGGUUAUUUCAUAAGGCAAGAUGCAGCCUCUAAAGAAAAUUCAUCGAAAGGCAUUGCCAUCACCGCAGUCAAUACCAAAGAAGCCAUUUAGAAUGCAGGCAUCCAGGCAAAAACCAGAAAACGUGCCUGUAGCAGCUGCAGUUCGUGGCCUUGGCGACCCCGGACAAUAGAGGCCCUGGGAACCUAACCCAAAUGGCUUAUAGGGGUUGGACUGGACUCAGGUAGGCGAGGUCCCCGAAAACCGAGGCUACAUUCUUGCCACCGCUGCUAAAUCGAUCAUCAGUCGUCGGCGGCAUGGCGUAGUGGAAACUUCUCGUGAAAUUAGCUAGAAAAUGUACUGCUACAACUAGGGAGACCUAACGCAACCGCACCGAAACGUGUUCCAACGGGCAGUGACAACUUCUGGGCAUCCCCAGCCCCACCUUAAAAAUCUGACUCCUCAAUUCAAUACAUGUGACCAGAAACACACAGCUUCAAGCGCAAUACUCGCUUCAUAGAAUCAUUAAAACUUGAUGAAGCAAAGAAACCAUCAAAAAGUAAGAGAUUCUUCACCUGAGCUGCAAUUCUUCCGGGUGGCGUCUUCGAGGCAUCGAAGACGCGGCUGUCUGAAAUAGCGAAAGUGGUGCGAGUGGUGCAACUUGUGCCACUGCCAGCGGAGUGGAUGAGUCCCAUAUAAAAUGAACCUUGCAGACUUAGGAGACCCUAUGGCCCAUAAAUCCAGGGGGAGCAAUACUCCUGCCCGGAAAGUAAGGAAACGAAAACGCUUGAGAUGGAAAAGUCUGACUGGAACGAAAGAGACAAAGGAGCCCCAGAGCAUUCGCUUGGCGCCACCUGCGUUUCGAGAAGACGCGUACGCAUACCUCUAUCGGUCGCAUGUGGCGGUACGCGGAUGCGAGCGAGACAACAAUACUGUAGACAAGGAGAGACGGCUCCCUCUCUCCAUCACUCUCUGUCGCGCUGGCCAGGCGUUUGCAUCGCAAGCGGGUGAGUGAGAUGGCCAUAGGGCGGACUGCAAGGCCCGAAAGAGAGCAGUAAAGCUGUAUAACACCGAUAAGCAAUAAUCGACGCAUCGAAAGAUGCGUAUAACACACGGGCAUCCCUCGGAAAGCAAAGAGUUCAGACCGCACUCACGAAUACCGCUCCGCUCUGAAAGGACCGGCCAAACCAGAAAGAAAUGCUCUGCCAGGAGCGUAGAAUCGCAAUAAAGCAGUAAACAACUGCCAAAGCAGCAAUAACUCAAACCAAAGCUGACAAAGCCAGAGCUAUGCGCUCUAUUAAAGCCAAAGAAAGUGUCAUCGUAACGUUCACCACUCUUCACAUUCCAUCAAAGUCCAUUUCUGGUCCCUACAAAGCAGUAUUGUAGAGGUUCUUUUCUAUUUGUUUUAUAUAGUUGUUGGUUAUCACUGCCCAGGAACUCAUCAAUUUUUUUUGGAUUAUACGGACUGAAGUGUUUGUUAUGAAGAACUUGUAGAAUUAGGAGCCAUGCCGCCGCUUAACUAAGAUCCAAAAGCCAAGAAGCUACGCCCAGAAGAAACUGCCACUGCAUAGAUUCUUGAAGUGAGCAAGAAAGCUGAACUGAAAUGGUUAUCCACCGACUACAGGGCAUCUAACCUAUUAAACUUAAUGAAGACAGCACCUUUCAAAACCUCAAGCUAGGCCACGAAACGAACAAUUCAUCACAAAAGCCACAACAAAUAUUGACUCAAGAAUCAGUUUAGCUCAUCUGCACUCCUUUCUAACAAGUACUCAGCAGAAAUCACUCGAAAAGGGACAUUUUGAUUUUGCUUUAUUUAUGUGCUUUAGUUUCGAACUAACCAAAAUAUUGCUUGCAGAAAUUAAUCAGUUUAUUAGCUGAAAAAGCCCUUAAAUUAACUGCCAGGAGGUGAGUUUUUGUCUUCGAUUCUUGGAAAACGUUGAGUAGGGGCCCAACUAGAGGAAAAAGGACAGGCAAAGCCUGUAUAAAAAACCUAUAAAAAUAACAAGUUCCAACAGAAGCCAAUAUGAAACUGUUAUACAAGCCAAGUCAAAAGUUAUGCGAAGAAGAAAAGGAAGGAAUGUCAAGAAAUGUUUGCAAACGGAUGAUAAAAACAUGCGUUUCGUGAACGAAAGAAAUCCAAAAAAUAUUAAAAGCGAAUUAAGUGUUGUUCAAUCGUUUGGCCAACAUUUGAUUUGAGAAUGGCUGAAAAUAUUCGCUUAAACUUAUGUCAAAGCUUGUACAAAUAAAAAAGAUCCUUCUACUGGGCACCGACGAUGCGUUUUCACCCGGGAUUUAAGCAAAAGCUAUUAGUCUAUUGGCCUUGAUUAUUAACCUAUUUCUAUGCUGUGUGUUCUUUCAGAUGAGUUUUGAACAGAGACGAAACUUGGAGCCUCGCGGAGCCAAAGUUUUCAAUUGUUUUUUCUUUUUAAUUGCCUGUAUUCGAGUCGAUUUCCAGCACCCUUUCAUAAGUUUUCUUAAACAUUCGCUGGCUUAUUCUUGAAUCUGAGUUUCCAUUCAAAAAUCAUCUUUUCUUCGUUGGUCGGUGCUUGAGAUGAAACAUUGUGCCAAGUAUUUUUUCUGUUCAAUUGAACUUUAUCCGUGCAAAUGUCCUGCAGGAAGGGAAACCCAUUACAGGCUUGGGCUUUCUUCUGAAUGUGAUAUGCAAGCAGGUGUAAUAAAGCCUAUGAAAUCCAGUCCUACCCCACAUCAGGCCACAGCCAAGAAGCUCCGCCUAAUACAAGAGAAGAUUAUACUAAUCAGAUUGCUAUCUUUCAGAUCCGGCCCGAAGUAGAUCCUGUUCUAGAACUAACCCCUUCUGUUUACAGAUUCUCGUCAGUUGUUCUCAAUCGUUUCUUUUAUGUGUGUAUUACCCAAGUAACUUCAAUUUUUUUUUAACCGAGUCCCCUUCCUAUACUUGCUGUUUAUUUUCUAUGUUUUAACAUAACUACGUAUCCCAUUCAGAUCACCAAACAUACUUUUCUUACCUAAGCUAGAUUUGUAUUUCGGAAAACGCACCAAAAGGCGUAAUUUAGAAUCGUUUUCCGAAAUGGGAAUCAAAGAUAAGCAAUAUUUUGAACUGCGUAAAAUGAAUAAAUUGAACGGUAUUGAAAGCCUACGCUUUCAUUACGGUUCAUGAAGUAUAACUAAAAAAAAAAAAUAAAAAAAAAAAAUAAAAAAAAAAAAAAGAAAAACACAUUUACUAACAAAUAAAAACUUGCUAAUCAACGUUCUACGCAGUUCUUAAAAAGAUGUUGAAAUGAACACAACCAAUGCAAGUAAAAAUGUGUGGAAACGUUAUACGAAUCUUCACCAACUGCCCAAAUUACUAAAAGAAAAUUGAAAUCGUUAUACGCCUGAGCCGA
Molecule: long non-coding RNA, 3745 nt
Organism: Drosophila erecta
Lineage: Eukaryota; Metazoa; Arthropoda; Insecta; Diptera; Drosophilidae
Exons: 2
Source: RefSeq, a predicted model, not a curated record